RNAcentral lists this ribosomal RNA (447 nucleotides) under uncultured bacterium. Its description in RNAcentral is "bacterial SSU rRNA". It matches the Rfam family "Bacterial small subunit ribosomal RNA", at positions 355 to 825 of the family's 1533-position model. The record is from RNAcentral.
UCGGGAAUUUUGGGCAAUGGGCGAAAGCCUGACCCAGCAACGCCGCGUGAAGGAUGAAGUAUUUCGGUAUGUAAACUUCGAAAGAAUAGGAAGAAUAAAUGACGGUACUAUUUAUAAGGUCCGGCUAACUACGUGCCAGCAGCCGCGGUAAUACGUAGGGACCAAGCGUUGUUCGGAUUUACUGGGCGUAAAGGGCGCGUAGGCGGCAAUUCAAGUCAUCUGUGAAAUCUCCGGGCUUAACUCGGAACGGUCAGAUGAUACUGCUUUGCUAGAGUGCAGAAGGGGCAAUCGGAAUUCUUGGUGUAGCGGUGAAAUGCGUAGAUAUCGGGAGGAACACCUGAGGCGAAGGCGGGCUACUAGGCUGAUACUGACGCUGAGGCGCGAAAGCCAGGGGAGCAAACGGGAUUAGAUACCCCCGUAGUCCCUGAGCGGGCUGGCAAGGCGCAU